CCUACACCAGUUGAUAAGGAGUCCAUUUCAUGCUUAGAUUUCUUGAGUCCCCCAUUCGCAUUGAAGCCAGCUUCAGGCCUCCCUCUCUUUCUUACAUCCAUCAUCGAUUUACUGUUAGUACCACAGAUCCAGAACGAAGGAACAAACACAAGAGCCGACACCCAGACUCAAAAAAACCAAAUCAAAGAAUAAUUGAAGUAACCCAGGGAUUGAAAACAGUAGAGGAAAAACCCUAACCCUGAAAUUGAGAGGAUAUAAUUAACAGAAGCAAAAAC
RNAcentral lists this unclassified non-coding RNA (275 nucleotides) under Hevea brasiliensis (rubber tree). Lineage: Eukaryota; Viridiplantae; Streptophyta; Magnoliopsida; Malpighiales; Euphorbiaceae. The record is from RNAcentral.